AUACAAUCCCUCUCCUUUCAGCUUGAAAGAAAGCAAAGAAAAUGGAAAUACGGUAGCAUGAAGGAAGGAAAGAGUGAAGAUAAUGAAGAAAUCCCCUUAAAAAGGAGUUGCUCCAGUCCUCAUCAGCUACCGGGACGUGUCAAGCCAUAGAAAGUGAAGUUUCACAAACCAUCCUUCCCCAUAAACGAUAGGCUCCACCCCUACGUGGGGCUUGAACUCACAACCCUGAGAUCAAGAGUCAGAUGCUCUACCAACUGAGCCUCCCAGGUGUCCCUGAAAUUUUAGAGCACAUUAUUCAUUACUGUAUUAAUAUUACUAUAAUGGUAAUAAAAUGGGAAGCUGUUAAACACAUAUCCAUCUUUCCAACAGUGUUGUCCUAAGUCCAGGAGGAAGCUUUCAAAACAGGAGCCUGGCCAAUUGCAAACCUUUCUCUGGACUUACUCUCCUCACCCCAGACCCAGCUACUAAGGAAGCCAGUUUUGGAACAUGGAAAGAUGGAUUGGAUGCAGUUAGGAGCCCUGAUCUCAUCUUGAUGUCAGACAGGAAGUAACAGCUAUAUGCCAAAGGCAGAGAUGUCCCAGACACUCCUAACAAGCUGGAGCUGGAUGGAAGGACCAGUCCGACAAACUUUCUUGGCUCUAAAAGAUUUUAAAAUUUUCCUCCAAAAUAAAGUUACAGAUAAAUGAAAGAACUGGAGAGUAAUUUGUGCUGAUGUGCACAGAGCCACUUUACCCCACACUACCUCAGAGCACACUGGGGAUGUCAGCAGGGCGCUUAUCCUCCUUUGAGCAAGUUACCUCCUUCAGAGGGAUGCCAGGAGGAAAAGCAGAGGCACGUGCUAUAAGGAAGGAGUGAGUGCUGAAUGCAUCCUGGCAAGUAGGUAACCCUUGGAACUGAAUGUUCUCACCCAGGUCCUUUAGCAAUAAAUGUAUUCUACUUCUGA
Felis catus (domestic cat) is the source of this 943-nucleotide long non-coding RNA. RefSeq lists it as uncharacterized. The transcript has 5 exons. The record is from RefSeq and is a predicted model, not a curated record. NCBI's taxonomy places the organism in Eukaryota, Metazoa, Chordata, Mammalia, Carnivora, Felidae.